Molecule: ribosomal RNA, 519 nt
Filed under: Escherichia coli
Lineage: Bacteria; Pseudomonadati; Pseudomonadota; Gammaproteobacteria; Enterobacterales; Enterobacteriaceae
Also listed under: 2 other names
Description: partial 23S ribosomal RNA
Rfam family: Bacterial large subunit ribosomal RNA
Source: RNAcentral
GGUUAAGCGACUAAGCGUACACGGUGGAUGCCCUGGCAGUCAGAGGCGAUGAAGGACGUGCUAAUCUGCGAUAAGCGUCGGUAAGGUGAUAUGAACCGUUAUAACCGGCGAUUUCCGAAUGGGGAAACCCAGUGUGAUUCGUCACACUAUCAUUAACUGAAUCCAUAGGUUAAUGAGGCGAACCGGGGGAACUGAAACAUCUAAGUACCCCGAGGAAAAGAAAUCAACCGAGAUUCCCCCAGUAGCGGCGAGCGAACGGGGAGCAGCCCAGAGCCUGAAUCAGUGUGUGUGUUAGUGGAAGCGUCUGGAAAGGCGUGCGAUACAGGGUGACAGCCCCGUACACAAAAAUGCACAUACUGUGAGCUCGAUGAGUAGGGCGGGACACGUGGUAUCCUGUCUGAAUAUGGGGGGACCAUCCUCCAAGGCUAAAUACUCCUGACUGACCGAUAGUGAACCAGUACCGUGAGGGAAAGGCGAAAAGAACCCCGGCGAGGGGAGUGAAAAAGAACCUGAAACCGU